GUCUAAAUAGUUUAAGUUUAAAAUGCUGAUUUGUGGUGUCGGUGAUGUGACUGGGUUGCUUUGGACU
Molecule: transfer RNA, 67 nt
Filed under: Coptotermes heimi
Lineage: Eukaryota; Metazoa; Arthropoda; Insecta; Blattodea; Rhinotermitidae
Description: tRNA-His
Source: RNAcentral